UGUUAAAAAUUUCAUCCAUUUGUACUAUUAAAAACUAGCAUGGCUAAUAAAAUAACCAGGCAAUUACACGUGUACCUCAUGCUAGCGUAUAAGGACCAGCUUUUAACAGUAGAAAUUGAUGGAAUUUUUAACA
This is a non-coding RNA of Gossypium hirsutum (cotton), 133 nucleotides long. Lineage: Eukaryota; Viridiplantae; Streptophyta; Magnoliopsida; Malvales; Malvaceae. The record is from Rfam.